This 448-nucleotide ribosomal RNA is filed under the name uncultured bacterium. RNAcentral describes it as "bacterial SSU rRNA". It matches the Rfam family "Bacterial small subunit ribosomal RNA", at positions 331 to 794 of the family's 1533-position model. The record is from RNAcentral.
CCAGACUCCUACGGGAGGCAGCAGUGGGGAAUAUUGCACAAUGGGGGAAACCCUGAUGCAGCGACGCCGCGUGAGCGAAGAAGUAUUUCGGUAUGUAAAGCUCUAUCAGCAGGGAAGAAAAAAUGACGGUACCUGACUAAGAAGCACCGGCUAAAUACGUGCCAGCAGCCGCGGUAAUACGUAUGGUGCAAGCGUUAUCCGGAUUUACUGGGUGUAAAGGGAGCGCAGGCGGUACGGCAAGUCUGAUGUGAAAGCCCAGGGCUCAACCCCGGUACUGCAUUGGAAACUGUCGGACUAGAGUGUCGGAGGGGUAAGUGGAAUUCCUAGUGUAGCGGUGAAAUGCGUAGAUAUUAGGAGGAACACCAGUGGCGAAGGCGGCUUACUGGACGAUUACUGACGCUGAGGCUCGAAAGCGUGGGGAGCAAACAGGAUUAGAUACCCUGGUAGC